Molecule: ribosomal RNA, 371 nt
Filed under: Ochrobactrum sp. R-24639
Lineage: Bacteria; Pseudomonadati; Pseudomonadota; Alphaproteobacteria; Hyphomicrobiales; Brucellaceae
Description: bacterial SSU rRNA
Rfam family: Bacterial small subunit ribosomal RNA
Source: RNAcentral
UAGAGUUUGAUCCUGGCUCAGAACGAACGCUGGCGGCAGGCUUAACACAUGCAAGUCGAGCGCCCCGCAAGGGGAGCGGCAGACGGGUGAGUAACGCGUGGGAACGUACCUUUUGCUACGGAAUAACUCAGGGAAACUUGUGCUAAUACCGUAUGUGCCCUUCGGGGGAAAGAUUUAUCGGCAAAGGAUCGGCCCGCGUUGGAUUAGCUAGUUGGUGAGGUAAAGGCUCACCAAGGCGACGAUCCAUAGCUGGUCUGAGAGGAUGAUCAGCCACACUGGGACUGAGACACGGCCCAGACUCCUACGGGAGGCAGCAGUGGGGAAUAUUGGACAAUGGGCGCAAGCCUGAUCCAGCCAUGCCGCGUGAGUGA